GGCUGAUCCAAGUGUAGUGGUGUUUACAACUAAUUGAUCACAACCAAUUACAGAUUUCUUUGUUCCUUCUCCACUCCCACUGCUUCACUUGACUAGCCUUAA
Colobus angolensis palliatus is the source of this 102-nucleotide unclassified non-coding RNA. It matches the Rfam family "Y RNA". Rfam says of the family: Y RNAs are components of the Ro ribonucleoprotein particle (Ro RNP), in association with Ro60 and La proteins. The Y RNAs and Ro60 and La proteins are well conserved, but the function of the Ro RNP is not known. In humans the RNA component can be one of four small RNAs -- hY1, hY3, hY4 and hY5. Lineage: Eukaryota; Metazoa; Chordata; Mammalia; Primates; Cercopithecidae. The record is from Ensembl.